This 146-nucleotide ribosomal RNA is filed under the name uncultured bacterium. RNAcentral describes it as "partial 16S ribosomal RNA". It matches the Rfam family "Bacterial small subunit ribosomal RNA", at positions 118 to 264 of the family's 1533-position model. The record is from RNAcentral.
UGAGUAACCUGCCCUUCACUCUGGGAUAACUCCGGGAAACCGGGGCUAAUACUGGAUAUGACUCGAACAGGCAUCUGUUUCGGGUGGAAAGAUUUAUUGGUGGAGGAUGGACUCGCGGCCUGUCAGCUUGUUGGUGAGGUAAUGGC